AUUGAACGCUGGCGGCAUGCCUUACACAUGCAAGUCGAACGGCAGCGCGGGGCAACCUGGCGGCGAGUGGCGAACGGGUGAGUAAUAUAUCGGAACGUACCCUGGAGUGGGGGAUAACGUAGCGAAAGUUACGCUAAUACCGCAUAAGCUCUAAGGAGGAAAGCAGGGGACCGCAAGGCCUUGUGCUGCAGGAGCGGCCGAUAUCUGAUUAGCUAGUUGGUGGGGUAAAGGCCCACCAAGGCAUCGAUCAGUAGCUGGUCUGAGAGGACG
RNAcentral lists this ribosomal RNA (270 nucleotides) under uncultured bacterium. Its description in RNAcentral is "partial 16S ribosomal RNA". It matches the Rfam family "Bacterial small subunit ribosomal RNA", at positions 30 to 302 of the family's 1533-position model. The record is from RNAcentral.